UUAACUUAUUAUAAAUAUUACUCAGACAACACAAAAAUCACGAGUUUAAGGAUCCUCUGGCAGACGCGGACCAGCCUGAGCCAGUGGUCAAGAGACGGGCCUGCCAAAGCAACAAAGGUAAUGUAAACAAAGGGUGGGAGAUCUACCCCGAAGGGCAAUUUCUCUGUAAUGAUCCUUCCGCAGGUUCACCUACGGAACGCAUGGUCUGCAACCUUUUCGGAGGUAGGCCGGUCAUAUCUGAAUCCAAGAUUGGUUGAAAUUCUUGGACCACCUUCGUUUGAUCUGUGGACUGCUGUAUGCAGCUGCAUGUUACCCUAACGAUAUCCAAGCACAGUGAAGAUGUUGCCUACAGAGGUAGACUGCUAUCCAAGGCUUCUGCAGGUGUUGUUCCUUGAGAAA
Molecule: unclassified non-coding RNA, 399 nt
Filed under: uncultured fungus
Lineage: Eukaryota; Fungi
Description: sequence contains ITS1
Source: RNAcentral